This 511-nucleotide ribosomal RNA is filed under the name uncultured bacterium. Its description in RNAcentral is "partial 16S ribosomal RNA". It matches the Rfam family "Bacterial small subunit ribosomal RNA", at positions 28 to 523 of the family's 1533-position model. The record is from RNAcentral.
GACGAACGCUGGCGGCGUGCCUAAUACAUGCAAGUCGAGCGAAUCAAUGGGAGCUUGCUCCCUGAGAUUAGCGGCGGACGGGUGAGUAACACGUGGGUAACCUGCCUGUAAGACUGGGAUAACUUCGGGAAACCGGAGCUAAUACCGGAUACGUUCUUUUCUCGCAUGAGGAGAGAUGGAAAGACGGUUCUGCUAUCACUUACAGAUGGACCCGCGGCGCAUUAGCUAGUUGGUGAGGUAACGGCUCACCAAGGCGACGAUGCGUAGCCGACCUGAGAGGGUGAUCGGCCACACUGGGACUGAGACACGGCCCAGACUCCUACGGGAGGCAGCAGUAGGGAAUCUUCCGCAAUGGACGAAAGUCUGACGGAGCAACGCCGCGUGAGCGAAGAAGGCCUUCGGGUCGUAAAGCUCUGUUGUUAGGGAAGAACAAGUACGAGAGUAACUGCUCGUACCUUGACGGUACCUAACCAGAAAGCCACGGCUAACUACGUGCCAGCCGCCGCAGUAA